UGGAAGUGCCUUUGGAACCGGUGGAGGUUUGUAUACUGGAACAGGUGGUAAAACUGGAUGUUCAACCUUUGGUGGUGGACAUGGUUUCUUGACCGGAACCGGUGGUGGUUGUGGCUUUGGAACUGGAGGAGGUUUGUAUACUGGAGCAGGUGGUAGAACUGGAUGUUCAACCUUUGGUGGUGGACAUGGUUUCUUGACUGGAACAGGAGGAGGAAGAGGUUUAUGAUAUACAGGCGUAGGUGGAGGGAGAGGUUUAUGAUAAACAGGCACAGGUGGAGGAAGAGGUUUCUCAUACACAGGUGUAGGUGGAGGGAGAGGUUUAUGGUAAACAGGCACAGGCGGAGGAAGAGGUUUCUCGUAGACAGGUGUAGGUGGAGGAAGAGGUUUCUCAUAAACAGGUGUAGGAGGAGGGAUAGGUUUUUCAUAGAUAGGCACAGGUGGAGGACAAG
RNAcentral lists this long non-coding RNA (449 nucleotides) under Medicago truncatula (barrel medic). RNAcentral's name for it is "long non-coding RNA (MTRU_LNC002035)". The record is from RNAcentral. Lineage: Eukaryota; Viridiplantae; Streptophyta; Magnoliopsida; Fabales; Fabaceae.